This 465-nucleotide RNase P RNA is filed under the name Candidatus Omnitrophota bacterium. RNAcentral's name for it is "Candidatus Omnitrophica bacterium RNase P RNA component class A". It matches the Rfam family "Bacterial RNase P class A". From Rfam's summary of the family: Ribonuclease P (RNase P) is a ubiquitous endoribonuclease, found in archaea, bacteria and eukarya as well as chloroplasts and mitochondria. Its best characterised activity is the generation of mature 5'-ends of tRNAs by cleaving the 5'-leader elements of precursor-tRNAs. Cellular RNase Ps are ribonucleoproteins. Lineage: Bacteria; Pseudomonadati; Candidatus Omnitrophota. The record is from RNAcentral.
GGCGCAGGUCGGAUGGUCGUCCGCCAAUAUUUUGGUGGGAGGAAAGUCCGGGCUCCAUAGGGCAGCGUAACGGGUAACGCCCGUCUCCGUCUUCGUUGAGCACGAUAAGUGCUUGGCGAAGACGGAAGGAUCAGAGCCACAGAGACGAGUAACAGCUACAAGAAGCUGGGACGUGAAACGAGGCAAUCUCUACGCGGAGCAAGACCAAAUAGGUCUCGCUAACAAGAAUGGCCCGUUCGAGACAGCGAGACGGGUAGGUUGCAUGAUCCUGAGAGCGAUCUCAGGGCUAGAUAGAUGACCGUCUCUGUCUUCGUUGAGUACUUAUCGUCAGUCUUCGCUGAAUACUUACCGUAUUCAGCUUCGCCUGACUUGUGCUCAACUACGCCGGAUAAAUCCGGCGAAGCCAAGCGCGAAAGCUGCUUGGCGGAGACGGAACAGAACCCGGCUUACAGAUCUGCGCCUUUU